This is a long non-coding RNA of Diabrotica virgifera virgifera (western corn rootworm), 670 nucleotides long. RefSeq lists it as uncharacterized. The transcript is spliced from 2 exons. The record is from RefSeq and is a predicted model, not a curated record. NCBI's taxonomy places the organism in Eukaryota, Metazoa, Arthropoda, Insecta, Coleoptera, Chrysomelidae.
UGUCCAUCUGUCCGCGAAUAUACCUCCUCCGUUAUUAAAACAAAUAAAAUGACGAAUAGGACGUCGAAUGAAAGCUUAUAAGCCAAGGAUGGAUUGAAAUCAGCUGUAGUUGUCAAUGUUAAAUUAUCAUUUACUAAUACGACUCAUAUUAUUAUUAAAAUAUCAUUCCAGGUUUGUAAUCAAAAUUUGUGUAAGUAUUUUACAAAAGGUAAAAAUUGUAAUAAUUAAAUUCUGUACAACUUACUAAAUUCUAGUCAGAAGCUGUAUACAUGAACGCCACAAGGUUCAAAUGGUUUCAAUGGGACAGAAGUAAUCGCAUUUUAUUGCUAAUGUUUCUGCUACAGACAAAAAACCCACUUACAUUUAGGUGUUACGGAAUUGUUUAUCAAAAUCGUGCACUACUAUUUGUGGUAUAUCGUAUGCUACAUUUGUGUAUUGCAUUCUACAGAUGUAUAAACACCUAAGCAUUGUACAAUAUAUAAAAAUGACAGUCAGCGUCCUUUUUGUUGAAGAAGUCAGCUUUGAUAAUUUUAAGAAAAAUUGGAUGUUUGGGCAUCAAGCUAUUAUUUUUUUUAUUAGCUAGUUUUUAUUUUUCACUUAAUCACUAAUUAGUUGUAAAAUUAUGUAAUAUUGUACAUAUGUAAAUAAUAUACGAAAAGGAAUAUUCUCA